CACUUAAAACUGCUCCUGCACAUCUCCUUCCACCUCAGGAUCAGGCAGACUCUCCUCAGCCUGACAGCACCCUCACGGGUCCAGUGCUUGCGGAGAAGGAAAUUUAAGCUUGGCCUCCAAUUCUGGGUGGGGGCUGCAUCGAGCCUUAUUUGGUCAGCGUGGGACGACCCUCCAAUUCUCUGGAUUGAAGCAUUCUGUCUCUUUCGGACGUCUGCUGGAGGAUUUUCAGUUGAGCGGAGUGUGACAGUGAUAGACGGAGGAGAGGAGAGCAGAAGAAAGCAGGGCUCAGAGGCGGUGUUCUGGCUCCAGGGAUUUUAAACACAGAAACAGACUCUGAGAGUCUCUGCCAGGGGCGGGGAGACGCCUAAAAGGACCAGAGCCAGGUGUGGAUGAUGACUCAAUUUGUGAGGAAGCAUCCGAAGUUCUAGAAGAGGAGAGACCUCGUCCCCAAGGUUCCUCGCCGGUCAAUGAAUACCCUGUUACUGAAAAGUACACAGAUAUUGACAAACAGG
Brienomyrus brachyistius is the source of this 512-nucleotide long non-coding RNA. RefSeq lists it as uncharacterized. Lineage: Eukaryota; Metazoa; Chordata; Actinopteri; Osteoglossiformes; Mormyridae. The record is from RefSeq and is a predicted model, not a curated record. The transcript has 3 exons.